This 635-nucleotide transfer RNA is filed under the name Hevea brasiliensis (rubber tree). The stretch from base 233 to 303 matches the Rfam family "tRNA". The record is from RNAcentral. Lineage: Eukaryota; Viridiplantae; Streptophyta; Magnoliopsida; Malpighiales; Euphorbiaceae.
AUUUUGGCUUUUGUGGCUGAAAAUUCAUUUUUCAUUUCAAUAGACAAUAGAAAGGGGAAAGAAUUUAGAAUUUAGAUAGUGUAUGUUUUGAGAUACUAUAAAAAAAAUUAAUCGAAAAAAUAGAUCCAAUCGGAAGGAUUUCUUUUUAGGAAAGGGAUUAAUAAAAAUGGAAUUCAAGAUGCAAGUACAAAAAAAAAGAGGGGGGAUAUUUUCGUCUAUUUUGUGUUGCCUUGGCGGCAUGGCCGAGUGGUAAGGCGGGGGACUGCAAAUCCUUUUUCCCCAGUUCAAAUCCGGGUGUCGCCUGAUCAACAAAAGGUGCAAAAUGCUUUAUUCCCUUUUGCUGAUAUAACUUGUCGAACUUUCCCCCAACAGAAGCACGCGAAGGAAAGGACAUCUUGAUACUUCCUUGAUUCUAAACAUCGGAAAAUUCUGUUCUCUAAAGUGCUGUAAAUUCUUGCAUCUAGGAUUCGGGGAAAGUUUAUAGUGGUGAAAGGGAAUCGGUAAAUCUUGAUAUAAUAGUCCUUCCACUACUAAGGUCUUUUGUAUACAAACUCAUNNNNNNNNNNNUGAGUACUCAGGAAUUCAAUCAAUCAAAUAGUGAUUGAAUAGAUAAUUGGCCUUUACUUAUACAUAUC